AACACGUGUGAUUGUUUAAAUUUAAAAUUUAUUUUAUAUUAAAAAAUUGAAAUUUAUUUUAUUUUAUAAUUUAUUUUUUGAAAUGAUAAUUUAUUUCACACUAUUUUGAAAUGGUCCCUAUGAGAAUCAUACUCUCAAUAUCGAAGGCAGAAAUUCAAAUCUCCCCAAUCUCCAUACCACUCCAAAUCCAAUCCUAUAAACGAUUCUCACUGACCCAUGAAAUUCUAACCCAGAAAGUAACAAUCUUGAAUGUGCCCAGAAGCUCGAUCAACAAAUCGACUGGGUUUGAGCGACUGAGAGCUUAAAUGUUUCGCCCAAUUACAGGUGUAUGAACUCAUUUUGAAGCUUCCAAUUACUUAUGGGAUUUGGGUAUUUUUGUCUUAGAAAUUUGUGUUAUUAUGAAAGUAGUUUAUGUUAAAACAAUUCUACUUGCUUGAGAUUGGCUGAGUUGGUUUGUGUUGUUAGUUAGUGAUAUUUUUUCAUAGCCAGUCAAGAGUGUUGUAUCUCCAACAUCUUCCACAUUAGAUGGGACUUUGGUUAAUUUUUAAUUGUCAAGUAAAUUAAAGAUUUGUAUUA
This is a long non-coding RNA of Cannabis sativa, 576 nucleotides long. RefSeq lists it as uncharacterized. The record is from RefSeq and is a predicted model, not a curated record. The transcript is spliced from 2 exons. Lineage: Eukaryota; Viridiplantae; Streptophyta; Magnoliopsida; Rosales; Cannabaceae.